RNAcentral lists this ribosomal RNA (367 nucleotides) under Aurantiochytrium limacinum. Its description in RNAcentral is "partial Eukaryotic small subunit ribosomal RNA". It matches the Rfam family "Eukaryotic small subunit ribosomal RNA", at positions 1471 to 1820 of the family's 1831-position model. The record is from RNAcentral. Lineage: Eukaryota; Bigyra; Thraustochytrida; Thraustochytriidae.
CCUUAGAUGUUCUGGGCCGCACGCGCGCUACACUGAUGGGUUCAUCGGGUUUUAAUUUCAUUUUUGGAAUUGAGUGCUUGGUCGGAAGGCCUGGCUAAUCCUUGGAACGCUCAUCGUGCUGGGGCUAGAUUUUUGCAAUUAUUAAUCUCCAACGAGGAAUUCCUAGUAAACGCAAGUCAUCAGCUUGCAUUGAAUACGUCCCUGCCCUUUGUACACACCGCCCGUCGCACCUACCGAUUGAACGGUCCGAUGAAACCAUGGGAUGUUUCUGUUUGGAUUAAUUUUUGGACAGAGGCAGAACUCGGGUGAAUCUUAUUGUUUAGAGGAAGGUGAAGUCGUAACAAGGUUUCCGUAGGUGAACCUGCGG